Molecule: ribosomal RNA, 519 nt
Filed under: Tremella huuskonenii
Lineage: Eukaryota; Fungi; Basidiomycota; Tremellomycetes; Tremellales; Tremellaceae
Description: LSU rRNA
Rfam family: Eukaryotic large subunit ribosomal RNA
Source: RNAcentral
GGGAGGAUUCAGCCGGCCGCCCGCCGGUGUACUUCUUCCCGAUGGGUCAACAUCAGUCCUGGCCGGGGGAUAAGGAUGGCGGGAAGGUAGCACCCUCGGGUGUGUUAUAGCCCGCCGUCGCAUACGUCGGCCGGGACUGAGGAAUGCAGCUCGCCUUCAUGGCCGGGGUUCGCCCACGUCCGAGCUUAGGAUGUUGACGUAAUGGCUUUAAACGACCCGUCUUGAAACACGGACCAAGGAGUCUAACAUACCUGCGAGUGUUUGGGUGUCAAACCCGGGCGCGCAAUGAAAGUGAACGUAGGAGGGAUCCGCAAGGAGCACCUUCGACCGAUCUGGAUCUUCUGUGAUGGAUUUGAGUAAGAGCAUGUAUGCUGGGACCCGAAAGAUGGUGAACUAUGCCUGAAUAGGGCGAAGCCAGGGGAAACUCUGGUGGAGGCUCGUAGCGAUUCUGACGUGCAAAUCGAUCGUCAAAUUUGGGUAUAGGGGCGAAAGACUAAUCGAACCAUCUAGUAGCUGGUU